This is a long non-coding RNA of Gallus gallus (chicken), 1599 nucleotides long. The record is from Ensembl. Lineage: Eukaryota; Metazoa; Chordata; Aves; Galliformes; Phasianidae.
CUGGCUCCCUGACCUUGUGAGGACUGGAAACCUUCCUGUCCAGUUCCAAACAGCACAAUGAUAGUAAGGACUGCACUUGUUUUGAAACAGACCAUCUGUCAUCUCAUCUCCUUUCCCAAAGUUACUGUAUCCUACAUCACAUGCUGAGUUUCAAUCGCUCAAGAUAUUCAGCUGAGAGAUACCAGCUUUUAUCAGUGCAUUUCAUUUUUCCUUUUCAUUACAACCAUGACAAAAUUGUUCUGUGUGUCUCAGAAGAAAUCCUAUCUAACAAAGAACAGAAUCUGUGUGUUGCUGUCAUUCAUGCAAGUUAGCUUAUCAUAGAAUGGCUUGGGUUGGAAGAGACCCCAAAGAUCACCACGUUCCAACCCCCUGCCACAGGCAGGGCUGCCAACCAUUAGAUCAAGCGCUAGACCAGGCUGCCCAGGGCUCCAUCCCACCUGGUCCCUGGGGCCACCAGGUCUUCUGCUCAUCUGCUCACAUUUUGGCUUCCCUGAAGCAGGAAUUCAAGGGAAGCUUGUGGAAUCAUCAUUCAUCAUUUUGUUUUGGGAUGAACAAUUGCUUCAUUGAGUUAAGUCCUAUUUGUACGCUGGAACCUGAAUAAAUUGGCAACCCCGACUGCACGAUGUGAGGAGAACAACACACUGGGAGAACAUCUGCUGUCCCAACAGUGACCUGGAAGGAAAUUUGACAGGAUUGAGACUGGGAGAGCUACAAGGGAAGGAGUGCUGAGGAACACCUCAUCUCCAAGAAGUUCUCUGGGUGGUUCAAGGCUGAAUUCGCCCAUCUGCGCAUGCUCCUCUCCCAAAGCCAUCCUGUCAGUGGGCUUUACAGAGGCAGCAGCUCACUGUGGUGCCGGACAGGCAAGUGGAGGUCUCAGAGGACGGAAAAGAGCAUAGUAAGGGCUAUAUUGGAUCCUUCUGGUGUCACUGUCACUGUCUAACGUAGGCUGUGAGAGGUGGCUGCUUAAAUACAGCACAAGGCUACAGCAUAGAAUAAAAAGAGGGGGUGAAAAUAAAAGAUAAACAUCCCACGUGCUGGGAAACAGAGAUUACUGAUCAGUGCCUAUACGCCACCAGACAGACAUUAAGCAAAAGGAUGGGCUAUGUUUGAAGAGGAAAAGCUGCACAGUCCAUUCACGUUUCAUGUUGGCACAUUUCUUUGCCACGUUACUGUCUUAAGAAGAGAGGAUACACCCCAGGCCUGCUCCAGAGAAGAGAUAACAAAAUCGGCUCAGGUCUCCGCUUCCCCUGGGUCCGCAGGGACUUGUAAGAAGCAGAUUACUUCCCCUAAGCAUGCACAGAGAUGUAUUUACGUGCCAUGCUGUAGCUGCUGCAGAGGAUUAAUUGGGAUGAUCAGCAAAAGAGUGACUGGAAAGUCAAGCUUAAAGAAAGCACUUUUUGAAGCCCCUUCUGCUUUCACAGCUAUUGGCUUCCUAUUUGGGUUUUAUUCAUAAGAUCACUGUGACUCUGCUUCCCUGUGAUAGAUAUGAACCUCACAGUUCUCUGAUGUAUUCUUGGCUUUUACGACUAUUGCUUUUGGACAAAGGUUGGGCUGAAAGCUCAGUCAUUUACCAGAACAAUUCACGGGACUUCUCUAUGC